Molecule: ribosomal RNA, 540 nt
Filed under: uncultured Geobacteraceae bacterium
Lineage: Bacteria; Pseudomonadati; Thermodesulfobacteriota; Desulfuromonadia; Geobacterales; Geobacteraceae
Description: bacterial SSU rRNA
Rfam family: Bacterial small subunit ribosomal RNA
Source: RNAcentral
GAGUUUGAUCCUGGCUCAGAACGAACGCUGGCGGCGUGCCUAACACAUGCAAGUCGAACGUGAUCCAGAGCUUGCUCUGGUGAAAGUGGCGCACGGGUGAGUAACGCGUGGAUAACCUACCCUGGUAUCCGGGAUAACMUUCSGRARGGGGUGCUAAUACCGGAUAAGCCCACGGGCUCUUUGGAGCUUGCGGGAAAAGGUGGCCUCUAUUUAUAAGCUACUGUAUCAGGAUGGGUCCGCGUACCAUUAGCUAGUUGGCGGUGUAACGGACCACCAAGGCGACGAUGGUUAGCUGGUCUGAGAGGAUGAUCAGCCACACUGGAACUGAGACACGGUCCAGACUCCUACGGGAGGCAGCAGUGGGGAAUUUUGCGCAAUGGGGGAAACCCUGACGCAGCAACGCCGCGUGAGUGAUGAAGGCCUUUGGGUCGUAAAGCUCUGUCAGAGGGGAAGAAAUGAUAUAGUGCUAAUACCACUUUAUCUUGACGGUACCCUCAAAGGAAGCACCGGCUAACUCCGUGCCAGCAGCCGCGGUAAUAC